Molecule: non-coding RNA, 73 nt
Organism: Gymnothorax javanicus (giant moray)
Lineage: Eukaryota; Metazoa; Chordata; Actinopteri; Anguilliformes; Muraenidae
Source: the annotation of a GenBank genome assembly
GGCUCUAUAACUCAGGGGUUAGAGCACUGGUCUUAUAAACCAGGUGUCAUGAGUUCAAUUCUCACUAGUGCUC